RNAcentral lists this ribosomal RNA (729 nucleotides) under uncultured Arcobacter sp. RNAcentral describes it as "bacterial SSU rRNA". It matches the Rfam family "Bacterial small subunit ribosomal RNA", at positions 35 to 774 of the family's 1533-position model. The record is from RNAcentral. Lineage: Bacteria; Pseudomonadati; Campylobacterota; Epsilonproteobacteria; Campylobacterales; Arcobacteraceae.
GCUGGCGGCGUGCUUAACACAUGCAAGUCGAACGAGAACGGAUUAUAGCUUGCUAUAAUUGUCAGCUAAGUGGCGCACGGGUGAGUAAUGUAUAGAUAACCUGCCCUUAAGAAAGGAAUAACAGUUGGAAACGACUGCUAAUGCCCUAUAUGCCUUUAAUACAUAAGUAUGCAAGGGAAACGCUUUAGUGCUUAAGGAUGGGUCUGUAUGGUAUCAGCUUGUUGGUGAGGUAAUGGCUCACCAAGGCUAUGACGCCUAACUGGUUUGAGAGGAUGAUCAGUCACACUGGAACUGAGACACGGUCCAGACUCCUACGGGAGGCAGCAGUGGGGAAUAUUGCACAAUGGACGAAAGUCUGAUGCAGCAACGCCGCGUGGAGGAUGACACAUUUCGGUGCGUAAACUCCUUUUAUAUAGGAAGAUAAUGACGGUACUAUAUGAAUAAGCACCGGCUAACUCCGUGCCAGCAGCCGCGGUAAUACGGAGGGUGCAAGCGUUACUCGGAAUCACUGGGCGUAAAGAGCGUGUAGGCGGGUAUAUAAGUCAGAAGUGAAAUCCAAUAGCUCAACUAUUGAACUGCUUUUGAAACUGUAUACCUAGAAUGUGGGAGAGGUAGAUGGAAUUUCUGGUGUAGGGGUAAAAUCCGUAGAGAUCAGAAGGAAUACCGAUUGCGAAGGCGAUCUACUGGAACAUUAUUGACGCUGAGACGCGAAAGCGUGGGGAGCAAACA